Molecule: small nuclear RNA, 107 nt
Filed under: Dasypus novemcinctus (nine-banded armadillo)
Lineage: Eukaryota; Metazoa; Chordata; Mammalia; Cingulata; Dasypodidae
Source: RNAcentral
CUGCUCGCUUUGGCAGCACAUAUGCUAAAAUUGGAACGAUACAGAGAAGAUUAGCAUGGCCCCUGUGCAAGGAUGACUCACAAAUUUGUGAAGCGUUCUAUAUUUUU